AAUUCCCAAGCAUCAUCCGCUGUAUACUCUCCAAUUGAAUCUCGUCGCAGAGCUGUCAAGUGAGCACAACUGCCAAGAGCUUUCCCGAAGUCUGCACAAAGUGAUCGGACAUAGGUACCUUUUGAGCAUCUUACUCGGAAAAUCACAUUCUGUCUGUCAUCUAAACUCCGCUUCACGUCAAAUUCGAAAAUUGAAAUCCUUCUUGGUGCAAGUUCGAUGCUUUCUCCUCUUCUUGCUUUAUCAUACAUCUUUUCACCACCAACUUUGAUUGCUGAGAACAUCGGAGGGACUUGCCAUAUCUCUCCAAAAAAGGAUGCUGCCGUUUUCUUUAUGUCCUCAUCCUUGAUAUGCUCCCAUGGCUCUCGUUGAAUAACCGGGGAAUCUGCAUCCCAGGUAGAGGUGGCUUCUCCCAAACGGAAGAUCCCACUGUAGCCCUUAGUCAUACCCUGAUAGCUGUCAACGAUCUUUGUAGA
This 473-nucleotide unclassified non-coding RNA is filed under the name Hevea brasiliensis (rubber tree). The record is from RNAcentral. Lineage: Eukaryota; Viridiplantae; Streptophyta; Magnoliopsida; Malpighiales; Euphorbiaceae.